Molecule: transfer RNA, 73 nt
Filed under: Dermacentor andersoni
Lineage: Eukaryota; Metazoa; Arthropoda; Arachnida; Ixodida; Ixodidae
Description: transfer RNA tyrosine (anticodon GUA)
Rfam family: tRNA
About the family: Transfer RNA (tRNA) molecules are approximately 80 nucleotides in length. Their secondary structure includes four short double-helical elements and three loops (D, anti-codon, and T loops). Further hydrogen bonds mediate the characteristic L-shaped molecular structure. tRNAs have two regions of fundamental functional importance: the anti-codon, which is responsible for specific mRNA codon recognition, and the 3' end, to which the tRNAs corresponding amino acid is attached (by aminoacyl-tRNA synthetases). tRNAs cope with the degeneracy of the genetic code in two manners: having more than one tRNA (with a specific anti-codon) for a particular amino acid; and 'wobble' base-pairing, i.e. permitting non-standard base-pairing at the 3rd anti-codon position.
Source: RNAcentral
GCGUCGAUAGCUCAGUUGGUAGAGCGGUGGACUGUAGAUCCAUAGGUCGCUGGUUCGAAUCCGGCUCGACGGA